CCUACGGGUGACUGCAGUGGGGAAUAUUGCUCAAUGGGGGAAACCCUGAUGCAGCGACGCAGCGUGAGCGAUGAAGUCUUUAGGUGUGUAAAGCUCUAUCAGCAGGGAAGAAAAUGACGGUACCUGACUAAGAAGCCCCGGCUAACUACGUGCCAGAAGCCGCGGUAAUACGUAGGGGGCAAGCGUUAUCCGGAUUUACUGGGUGUAAAGGGAGCGUAGACGGCUGUGCAAGUCAGAUGUGAAAGUCCGGGGCUCAACCCCGAGACUGCAAUUGAAACUGUGUGGCUUGAGUGUAGGAGAGGUAGGCGGAAUUCGUAGUGUAGCGGUGAAAUGCGUAGAUAUUAGGAGGAACACCGGUUGCGAAGGCAGCCUACUGGACGAUGACUGACGUUGAGGCUCGAAAGUGUGGGUAGCAAACAGGAUUAGAUACCCUUGUAGUC
This 440-nucleotide ribosomal RNA is filed under the name uncultured bacterium. RNAcentral's name for it is "partial 16S ribosomal RNA". It matches the Rfam family "Bacterial small subunit ribosomal RNA", at positions 338 to 795 of the family's 1533-position model. The record is from RNAcentral.